CAGGCAGAUCUUGGGGAGUCCGAGGCCAGCAUGGUCUACAAAGUGACCAGGACAGCCAGAGCUACAUAGUGAAACCCUAUCACAAAGAAAAAGUAAUUCAAUAAGGUCAUCCUGGCAUGGAUAUCCAGAGAGUGGUAGGCCUGAGGCCCCUGGAAGAGACUGGAGAAGGAGAUGGAAAAAUUGCCAUGGAAGUGGAGGACAUUGGGAUCAGAACGCACAGCGCUCAGGGCCACAUGAAGUCUCUUGGGGAUGUACCAGCACCCUCAUUGCCUGGAGCUGCCUCUUCUGUCCCCUUUUGGGUGGGUUAGGAGUCAGGCACAAUCUGCAAAGUCUAGAGUAAGCCUGGGAAGGGAGGUGGAGCCUAGGGGCAUCUCCCAGCUUGCCUAUCACACCACACCCCUAGGUUCUGAGCCGUAGGCAGUCCUGCCUUGCCCUGGAACUGCCACAAGUGGGGCAUCCCCAAAUAGCAUGACGUGUGCAGACUACUGUCUUCUGGAAACUCCUCCGUGGGUGACUGAUGGGUGUGAUAGAGAUGGCGGGAGAUUCUGCAGGGUGGGGUGAGGGAUGUGGUAGUCUCCGGGGUACCCUCGCCCUGCUGUCAGCAACGCCCCCAAUUCCGCUCAUGUUCGCCUCAGGGGCAUAAGAUAAACUGUGCCAGCCUGUUAGAUCUGGGGAUUUCCACGAGAGCCGUGAGCUGUGCAGGGUCUGCUCAGUUCUCCAGGGCUGAGAGUUUGUAGUCAAGUAGGGACAGUGUCCAUGACUGCAAGCAGGUGAGUGUGAAAUCCAGGAGAACUAGAAAUGUGGGGAAGAGGAUCGGCUGAAAAGAUCCUGCUGCAGAAGCCUCCUGCCACCCAGCAGAGACCAUUCCAGACACUGCCUUCUGAAGUUGGGAUAGCAUUUACCCAUCUGCAGAGUCUGGCUGCCACAGCAGCCGAGGUGUGUCUCUGCUAGGCCUAGACUAGCAGGAGGGAGGCUUCACUGCAAUUCCCAGAAACCCCUACCCCACAGUAGCCGCUCUCCAUUUCUUCCGGAAAACCACAGCGCACACACCCCCCUUGGCCUUGAUAAAUUUUGUUCUCAGAUAAA
Myodes glareolus (Bank vole) is the source of this 1086-nucleotide non-coding RNA. Lineage: Eukaryota; Metazoa; Chordata; Mammalia; Rodentia; Cricetidae. The record is from RefSeq and is a predicted model, not a curated record.